Molecule: ribosomal RNA, 433 nt
Filed under: uncultured bacterium
Lineage: Bacteria
Description: partial 16S ribosomal RNA
Rfam family: Bacterial small subunit ribosomal RNA
Source: RNAcentral
AACGAACGCUGGCGGCAUGCCUAACACAUGCAAGUCGAACGAGACCUUCGGGUCUAGUGGCGCACGGGUGCGUAACGCGUGGGAACCUGCCCUUAGGUUCGGAAUAACUCCCCGAAAGGGGUGCUAAUACCGGAUAAUGUCUUCGGACCAAAGAUUUAUCGCCUUUGGAUGGGCCCGCGUUGUAUUAGCUAGUUGGUAGAGUAAAAGCCUACCAAGGCGACGAUCCAUAGCUGGUCUGAGAGGAUGAUCAGCCACACUGGGACUGAGACACGGCCCAGACUCCUACGGGAGGCAGCAGUGGGGAAUAUUGGACAAUGGGCGAAAGCCUGAUCCAGCAAUGCCGCGUGAGUGAUGAAGGCCUUAGGGUUGUAAAGCUCUUUUACCCGGGAUGAUAAUGACAGUACCGGGAGAAUAAGCUCCGGCUAACUCCGUG